Molecule: ribosomal RNA, 427 nt
Filed under: uncultured bacterium
Lineage: Bacteria
Description: partial 16S ribosomal RNA
Rfam family: Bacterial small subunit ribosomal RNA
Source: RNAcentral
UGGGGAAUAUUGCACAAUGGGCGCAAGCCUGAUGCAGCCAUGCCGCGUGUAUGAAGAAGGCCUUCGGGUUGUAAAGUACUUUCAGCGGGGAGGAAGGCGUUGUGGUUAAUAACCACAGCGAUUGACGUUACCCGCAGAAGAAGCACCGGCUAACUCCGUGCCAGCAGCCGCGGUAAUACGGAGGGUGCAAGCGUUAAUUGGAAUUACUGGGCGUAAAGCGCACGCAGGCGGUCUGUUAAGUCAGAUGUGAAAUCCCCGGGCUCAACCUGGGAACUGCAUUUGAAACUGGCAGGCUUGAGUCUCGUAGAGGGGGGUAGAAUUCCAGGUGUAGCGGUGAAAUGCGUAGAGAUCUGGAGGAAUACCGGUGGCGAAGGCGGCCCCCUGGACGAAGACUGACGCUCAGGUGCGAAAGCGUGGGGAGCAAACA